ACAAUGAAGAGUUUGAUCCUGGCUCAGGAUGAACGCUAGCGGCAGGCUUAACACAUGCAAGUCGAGGGGUAACAUUGUAGCUUGCUACAGAUGACGACCGGCGAACGGGUGCGUAACGCGUAUAGAAUCUGCCUUGUACAUGAGGAUAGCCUUUAGAAAUGAAGAUUAAUA
RNAcentral lists this non-coding RNA (171 nucleotides) under Tenacibaculum soleae. RNAcentral describes it as "Bacterial small subunit ribosomal RNA". It matches the Rfam family "Bacterial small subunit ribosomal RNA", at positions 1 to 168 of the family's 1533-position model. Lineage: Bacteria; Pseudomonadati; Bacteroidota; Flavobacteriia; Flavobacteriales; Flavobacteriaceae. The record is from Rfam by way of RNAcentral.